Molecule: transfer RNA, 84 nt
Filed under: Venturia inaequalis
Lineage: Eukaryota; Fungi; Ascomycota; Dothideomycetes; Venturiales; Venturiaceae
Rfam family: tRNA
About the family: Transfer RNA (tRNA) molecules are approximately 80 nucleotides in length. Their secondary structure includes four short double-helical elements and three loops (D, anti-codon, and T loops).
Source: Rfam by way of RNAcentral
UCCCCCGUGGCGCAAUUGGCUAGCGCGUUCGACUGUUAAGAUCUGCAAAUCGAGAGGUUGGUGGUUCAAGCCCACCCGGGGGAG